Molecule: long non-coding RNA, 730 nt
Organism: Centruroides sculpturatus (bark scorpion)
Lineage: Eukaryota; Metazoa; Arthropoda; Arachnida; Scorpiones; Buthidae
Exons: 3
Source: RefSeq, a predicted model, not a curated record
GGACCUUAUCGAAAGUAAUCUACGAUUGGUGUAAAGUGAUAACGUGAGAGAAGAUAUAGAAGAGGAGACGAGAGAUGAAGGGAAGGACUUCGCCGUACGUAAUCAAGUCCGUCAUCGCCGCUCCUCAAGGACCGACCCCGCCGACCAACCUAACCGGCCGGUAUCAUCGAUCCUCAACGGAGAUGUCGUAGAUGACCCUUCCCUAGACGCCUUACUCGACCGAAGUCCCAACCUCCAUCCGAGUCGAUCCAGUUUACCCGACGUUAAAUCAACAAGAGGUGAUUUAAUUCGAAUAUUGUCAACACUUUACCGACGACCCCCACUCACCUCCUCCGAGAGAUGGCCCAAUCUAAUGAAUGGUGAGACUCCCCUGUUACAUCACCACCACCUCCGUCACCACCACCUGCGGAGGUUAACAACGAAUCCUUACAGGCCGCACUAGCAUUUGCUCGGGGCCAACAUCUGCACAAUUCUACACAGGCCACGAUCAUUCUUCCUAUUGGCUAUAAGUGUCCUCCGUCGCUGGAAGGAGCCUUACGGGAAGAAGUUGAGAUCACCCGCCACUGUUAUUAGCAGUUGGAAACCACACCACCUGUACAUGCGGCCAGAACACCACUGUUCCCAGUUUCCCUAUGAGGGGACGUUCUCGACAACCCCGAACGACUAGAAAUCGGGGCAGGGCCACUCAUCCGUAAUUUCUAACAAUUUUUUUUAUAAUGUAUUAUAUUCA